AACGCAUAUUGCACCUUGGGGUAUUCCUCAAGGUAUGCCUGUUUGAGUGUCAGUAACUAUCCUCAACCCUUUACGGGUGUUGGAUUUGGAUUUCUUUUAGUCUUUUGGGACUGAAAAGUCAUCUUAAAUAUAUUGGUGGGCAGUUUUAAGUCUGAAGUAGAUCUGCUCUAACUUUGAUAAAGUCUUGUUACUUUUCUAGUUACCGGAUCUUCUUGUUAAACAGUCAUAGGACUUGCUUUCAUCCUCAAGCAUAAAAAAUUGAUAGGCGUGUUUGACGCGUCUUUGAUUUUUUGUAACUUGACCUCAAAUCAGGUAGGACUACCCGCUGAACUUAA
RNAcentral lists this unclassified non-coding RNA (335 nucleotides) under uncultured soil eukaryote. RNAcentral's name for it is "sequence contains 5.8S rRNA gene, ITS2, 28S rRNA gene". The stretch from base 1 to 52 matches the Rfam family "5.8S ribosomal RNA", at positions 103 to 154 of the family's 154-position model. The record is from RNAcentral.